This 1019-nucleotide long non-coding RNA is filed under the name Arabidopsis lyrata. RNAcentral describes it as "long non-coding RNA (ALYR_LNC003086)". The record is from RNAcentral. Lineage: Eukaryota; Viridiplantae; Streptophyta; Magnoliopsida; Brassicales; Brassicaceae.
AACUAUAUCACCUAACAUACAUAGCAGAGCAUGUUGAGCAAUUUGCAACAGAUAUGUUGGUGAUAUGCAACUAGAUUUCAUACAGUCAGCUAAUCGUUUACCGGGUGCAUUGACAAUAUCUGUUAUUAGUUGGUAUGUUUCUGAAUCCAUCCCACUAUGCUUGUGUAGUUACUUUUCUUUAAAUUCAUCAUGAUAUUAAUUGUGCUUUUGCCUGUUACAGUUUUUGCUAUCCCACUUUUUUAGUUGAAACUAUGUUAGUUUUUUUGGUCCGCAGUAUGCUGAUUUGUUCUUGCAAGUAAGUUGAUAUGGGUGCUUUGGCGCUCAUAAAUUUUAGUUUCUUAACGUGAAAAACUCAUUUUCACAUGUAUGCUGGUGAUAAAAGAGCCAUACAUAAUGUGUCUGAGUCCUGAAUGAUAGGGUGAUAUUAGAAGUCUUCUUUUGCAUAAGCUUUAUCUGUGCCUCAUUUUUGUGAGAUACAACAAUAAGCAGUUGAUCUUCCACUUGUAAGUAGUUUUUUGACCAAAAAAAGAUUGGCUGCCCUACUUGCACUUUCAGUGUGUCUUGAAUCAAAUUAGCUUGUAAAUGAAUAACAUCAGGGGAGUGAAACUACUGGUUUCCAUUUGUAUGUCUACUAAACUUCUGGCUUAGAGAGAUAAAGCAUGGAGACAGGUUAUAGCACCAGUUCAACCCCUAUGAUAAGGUUGCAGCUCACUGAAUCAUAGUCCUGGGGAAAUUGGCUCAGUUGAAGCUGCAUCAGUUACAGAUAUUGACAGUUACCUGGGUAUAUGUGAAGCUCCAGUAUGCAAGUGAUAAGGACAUCAGACAAUGGAUAGAAUGGUCAGCUCUAGUAGUUAGAUAUGUAUUUUCAAGUAACGCAGAAACAUGUUUGAGGAAAUUUUUAUUUGGUCGUGUGAACUGGAUGUAUAUAUACACUUAUGACGUUAUGUUGGGAUAUUAAAAAUGUAUACAUUAAAGUAUAACAGUUUAUGCACAGUAUCAUUUGGCAAUCAGAGCUUUCU